Molecule: ribosomal RNA, 1102 nt
Filed under: uncultured bacterium
Lineage: Bacteria
Description: bacterial SSU rRNA
Rfam family: Bacterial small subunit ribosomal RNA
Source: RNAcentral
AGUAGGGAAUAUUAGUAAUGGGCGAAAGCCUGAACUAGCGACACCGCGUGUGCGAAGAAGGCCUUCGGGUUGUAAAGCACUUUUAGAGAGGAUGAGGAAGGACGGUACUCUCUGAAUAAGUCUCGGCUAACUACGUGCCAGCAGCCGCGGUAACACGUAGGAGGCAAACGUUAUCCGGAUUUACUGGGCGUAAAGCGCGUGUAGGUGGUUCUGUAAGUAGGGCGUGAAAGCUCCCGGCUCAACUGGGAGAGGCCGUUCUAAACUGCAGAGCUAGAGGAUGGUAGAGGGAGGUGGAAUUCCGGGUGUAGCGGUGGAAUGCGCAGAUAUCCGGAGGAACACCAGUGGCGAAGGCGACCUCCUGGGCCACUCCUGACACUCAGACGCGAAAGCUAGGGUAGCAAACGGGAUUAGAGACCCCGGUAGUCCUAGCCCUAAACGAUGUUUACUUGACGUCGGCGGCUUAAUCGCCAUCGGUGUCGUAGCUAACGCGAUAAGUAAACCGCCUGGGGACUACGGCCGCAAGGUUAAAACUCAAAGGAAUUGACGGGUCCCCGCACAAGCAGCGGAGCGUGUGGUUUAAUUCGUUGCUACACGAAGAACCUUACCUGGGUUUGACAUAGCAGUGGUAGGGAAACGAAAGUGGACCGACCCUUCGGGGAGCUGUUACAGGUGUUGCAUGGCUGUCGUCAGCUCGUGUCGUGAGAUGUUCGGUUAAGUCCGCUAACGAGCGCAACCCGCGUGAUGUGUUACAAGUGUCACAUCAUACUGCCGGUAUUAAGUCGGAGGAAGGUGCGGAUGACGUCAAGUCAGCAUGACCUUUAUAUCCAGGGCUACACACACGCUACAAUGGUCUGUACAAUAGGUUGCCAAGCCGCGAGGCGGAGCCAAUCCUACAAAGCAGGCCUCAGUUCAGAUUGCAGUCUGCAACUCGACUGCAUGAAGUCGGAGUUGCUAGUAACCGCAGGUCAGCUAUACUGCGGUGAAUACGUUCCCGGGGAUUGUACACACCGCCCGUCAAGUCAUGGGAGCUGGCAACACCUGAAGCCGGUAUCCUAACCCGCAAGGGAGGGAGCUGUCAAAGGUGGGGUCGGUGACUGGGACU